UACCGUGUAAACCAGCAGUGAAAUCUUGAAUGUGAGGAAGCGGGUAUCGAUCUGGAACAGUAGCUGCAUUUAAAGCUCGAUAGUCGCCGCAAAGUCUCCAUGAGUUCGGUCCGUUUUUAGGAACCAUGUGAAGUGGAGCUGCCCAGGUGCUGCUUGACGGUCUACAAAUUCCUUGUUCCACCAUAAAAUUAAAUUCGUCUCUUGCAAAUUUUAAUUUUUCCGGUGACAACCUGCGAGGAGUUGAAGCAAUUGGUGGUCCUUUCGUAAUAAUAUGAUGCUCAAUUUGAUGAAUCUUGUCUGUUGAUAUAGGAGCAAAAUGAGUUAAUUCAGGAAAUUCAGCAAGGAUCUUAUGGAAAGGUGAGUCAGGAAAUGUAGUGCAAAUUGACAAGUGAUUAACUUUAGAUAGUUUUCCUUUAAAUGAAAGACCGGUAACACUAUCUAGAAGUUUUUUGUUUUUAAUGUCAACUAAAAUUCCAUAAUGACUCAAAAAAUCUGCGCCCAAUAUAGGUCUCUGAAUAUCCGCAAUGCAAAAUUUCCAUUUAAAAAUUCUUCGUAAUCCAAGAUUUACAGUUAACAUUUUUAUACCGUAAGUAUUAAUCUUGGUUCCAUUAGCUGCAUAAAGCUUGAAAGAAGCAACUUGAGCUUUUGAAACAAAUCUUUUUGGAAUCAAAGAAAUAUCAGCUCCUGUAUCAACAAGAAAAUUAAGUCCUGAAGUUUUAUCAGAAAUAAUGAGGCGAUUGUUAGGUGAACCGUUGUCAGCCGCCUCACAACUCAACGGUGAAGCUAGUUUUCCUGCCUUUCGACCAAAGAUUUAGACAUAUCACAAGAUCUGCUGCGUACACGUCUAACUUCCAGAGCUGCGAUUCUUCGCUCGAGAUCAACAAAAUUCGAAGUGUCUUUUCCUGCCGAGGAAGCUAUUGUUGCUACAUGUAGGAGGAUUUUCAAUCAAAUCAGCAAUAGCCAACAAAGCUUGCUCAUCAAGAUGCCGUAUAACCGAGCUAUACUUAACAUCAUCUGAGCGGAUCCGAAAAACCAAGAAUUCGCUUUCUAAUUGAGCAAACCACAAUUUAGGCUGCUUAUGCCAAAAAUUCGGCAAUUUAACAAGGCGAAAUUCGUUAGAAUGGAUCUCGUUUGGCUGACCUUGUUGAUGAGGCUCAUUACUGGCAAGAGUUUGUGUCGGAUUCGUCAAACGUUGAUGAUGUUCUCCAGCCGAUGGAACUGAUGCUGACGCUGUAGGAUUCGAAGUCGAAGAUUCGUCCAAAGGCAUCGUCAAACUCUGUCAAUACUCUGCGUUGUGAAUUUCAGAAGUCUAGUAGAUCGCUGUCCUUGGAAAUUCGAUGACUCGAAAAUCUCGUCAACUCGAAGAACACAAGCCACAAAUCACACAAGAAUCACAGCGGAACUCGAAACUCGAUGGCUCACUAAAUUCGCGGAUCACUGAUUCAAAUUCGCCACGCUUGAACGUGAAUUCUCAAAAGCCCGUGAUCACGUCGGGGUCACCAGUUGUGGUAGCGUUAUAGUUAAAUCACUAGACUUUCCUUUUUACUAAUAAAAUAUUUAAUUCACGAGUAAGAUGUGUACAGAUUGAUGGUCAAUGAACGAACGAAUGAAUGUUACAUAAUUUGUCGUAUGUUUAAUAUGUUGUUAUGUAAAGUGUUAAAUCAAUAAAUGAAAUGUGUGAAAAUGGUUACAAA
Long non-coding RNA from Formica exsecta, 1694 nucleotides. RefSeq lists it as uncharacterized. The record is from RefSeq and is a predicted model, not a curated record. NCBI's taxonomy places the organism in Eukaryota, Metazoa, Arthropoda, Insecta, Hymenoptera, Formicidae. The transcript has 3 exons.